CUUACGGGGGGCUGCAGUCGAGGAUCUUCGGCAAUGGGCGCAAGCCUGACCGAGCGACGCCGCGUGCGGGAUGAAGGCCUUCGGGUUGUAAACCGCUGUCAGAGGGGAUGAAAUGCCGGGAGGUUCUCCUUUCGGUUUGACAGAUCCUCAGAGGAAGGACGGGCUAAGUUCGUGCCAGCAGCCGCGGUAAGACGAACCGUCCAAACGUUAUUCGGAAUCACUGGGCUUAAAGGCGGCGUAGGCGGCGUGUGAAAUCCCUCGGCUCAACCGAGGAAUUGCGCUCCAAACGACCGUGCUUGAGGGAGACAGAGGUGAGUGGAACUUAGGGUGGAGCGGUGAAAUGCGUUGAUAUCCUAAGGAACACCAGUGGCGAAAGCGACUCACUGGGUCUCUUCUGACGCUGAGGCACGAAAGCUAGGGUAGCGAACGGGAUUAGAUACCCUUGUAGUC
Molecule: ribosomal RNA, 450 nt
Filed under: uncultured bacterium
Lineage: Bacteria
Description: partial 16S ribosomal RNA
Rfam family: Bacterial small subunit ribosomal RNA
Source: RNAcentral